This 253-nucleotide ribosomal RNA is filed under the name uncultured bacterium. Its description in RNAcentral is "partial 16S ribosomal RNA". It matches the Rfam family "Bacterial small subunit ribosomal RNA", at positions 524 to 776 of the family's 1533-position model. The record is from RNAcentral.
UACAGAGGGGGCAAGCGUUGUUCGGAAUUACUGGGCGUAAAGGGCGCGUAGGCGGCCUGCUAAGUCGAACGUGAAAUCCCUGGGCUCAACCCAGGAACUGCGUCCGAUACUGGUUGGCUUGAAUCCGGGAGAGGGAUGUGGAAUUCCAGGUGUAGUGGUGAAAUGCGUAGAGAUCCGGAGGAACCCCAGAGGCGAAGGCGGCAUUCUGGCUCGCAACUGACGCUCAGACACGACAGCAUGGGGAGCGAACGGG